CUAGCCCUAAACGAUGUAGACUAGGCGUCGGAAGUUUAAUCACUUUCGGUGUCCAAGCUAACGCGAUAAGUCUACCGCCUGGGGACUACGGCCGCAAGGUUAAAACUCAAAGGAAUUGACGGGUCCCCGCACAAGCAGCGGAGCGUGUGGUUUAAUUCGUUGCUACACGAAGAACCUUACCUGGGUUUGACAUAGCAGUGGUAGGGAAGCGAAAGCGGACCGACCCUUCGGGGAGCUGUUACAGGUGU
RNAcentral lists this ribosomal RNA (248 nucleotides) under uncultured Anaerolineaceae bacterium. RNAcentral's name for it is "partial 16S ribosomal RNA". It matches the Rfam family "Bacterial small subunit ribosomal RNA", at positions 796 to 1041 of the family's 1533-position model. The record is from RNAcentral. Lineage: Bacteria; Bacillati; Chloroflexota; Anaerolineae; Anaerolineales; Anaerolineaceae.